ACUUUCUCUAUAUAUUUAUUUAUUUAAUUUUUUAGUUUCUCCGAUCCAUCUAGAAUUUUAUGCAACUUCAUUUUUAUCAAACAAUUUAAAAUUCAAUUACAUACUCAAGUACCAACUACCAAGUGCUAAUAACAUAGUAUAAAAUAGUUAGGUGAGAAUGAAUAAUGAAAUUGGAUAGACUAAUAACAAACCACUGUGUACUCUUAAACAGAUUCCAGCAAAUCUCCAAAUCAAUGCCACUGCUUUUAUCAAUUCAUCAUGGCCUCCAUAUUCGUCAACCAGCAUAACCCUAAAGAAAAUUCAGAUCCUUCUGCCCCUGAUUGAGGUGGGAAAAAAAACUGAGGUGUUUUUUUAUAUAAGCAAUAGGUUGGAUGAUUAGACUAAGUUGGAAGUGUUUCCCAUGCUCCUCCUAUAAAAAGGAUUAACAACAAAUUUAAGUAAUUGGAACAUCAUAUCAGAAUUCAGAACCAAAUCAGUGGAAUAGAAAAAGAAAAGAGAAAGGAAGAAGAAGCAUAAAAGAGAUCAGCACCAUCGAUGCCGCCAUGCAAUCACCUUGCCUUCGCGGUUGACAUCCACAACCGGUAUCAAAUCCGACUUUUUUUCAUCAAGUUUCGACUUCCCCGACCAUUAUUAGUUCGUCGUUGCUAUUGGUUUACACCGAGCUUUUACUUUAUUCCGUACUAGUCACCGCCA
RNAcentral lists this long non-coding RNA (693 nucleotides) under Panax ginseng (ginseng). Its description in RNAcentral is "long non-coding RNA (PGIN_LNC006988)". Lineage: Eukaryota; Viridiplantae; Streptophyta; Magnoliopsida; Apiales; Araliaceae. The record is from RNAcentral.